Long non-coding RNA from Cotesia glomerata, 935 nucleotides. RefSeq lists it as uncharacterized. The transcript has 4 exons. The record is from RefSeq and is a predicted model, not a curated record. NCBI's taxonomy places the organism in Eukaryota, Metazoa, Arthropoda, Insecta, Hymenoptera, Braconidae.
ACAGAAGUCUAUGGAGACGAUAUUAUUGUUAUUAUUAUUAUUGUAAUAUGUAGUGUUGCCGUCACGAAGGCUAGAUAGAAGGAGGACGAUCGGGAUAGGGUUUUCAGCUGUUAUAGCGUCCCCGUAUCCGUGUAAAGAUUUUAGUUUAUAUUUGGUCACCAGAUAGCAGUGGUGUUGUGGAGAUCCGCUUGAGGUUUCUAAUGCGCAUGACCACACAUGACUAUGUAGUAUUGUUUUUUCAUUAAAAGUGAUAAAUUAAAAAAUUAUUUAGUGUAUAUUAUUUGUUUUUUUACGUUAUAAAAUUACAUUUUGAUUAAAAAAUGGUGAAAACUUGUUCAGUGCUUAGUUGUGAAAGUGGGAGAAAAAAUGCGCGUAAAAAAAAUAAUGAUUGCAAUCUGCGUCAGAUUUCUUUAUUCAAAAUUCCAAAGGAUCCUGAAAAAUUAAGGAAAUGGAGCUCAGGGUUAAAUCAAGACUUAACUGCCAAUAAGUUUAUUUGUGAAUUACAUUUUUCAAAUGAUGAUAUUAUUAAAAGAGAUACCGUAGAAUUAUUUAAUAGUGAUAUUUUUGUAUCUGACCGAAAAAGUAUACAUUAAAACCAAAUGCAAUUCCAACAAUAAUUAAAAAUAAUACGUCUUUAGAACGCAGUGAUUUACCGUCGAAUCCUAAUAAUAAUGUUUCAACGCUUGAAAAUUCACCUCCAAGGACUUCUAAAGAUGAAACUCUUGUUGGUUCUCUAGAUUUUCAUGUAGAAGUGAGUCACCAAGAUACUUCCGCCAGUACUCCUAAUCUUAAUUACGAGCUUCCACCCGAUUCUCUAAGUGAAAAUUUAAGUACAGAAGAUACUUUAAUAAAAUUAACUAUUAUGGAAUUAAUCGAAAUUUUAAGAACUAAAAUGUUACCUGAAAAAUGGAGCUGGGCCAGUGACGUAAAGGAUU